RNAcentral lists this ribosomal RNA (492 nucleotides) under uncultured bacterium. RNAcentral's name for it is "partial 16S ribosomal RNA". It matches the Rfam family "Bacterial small subunit ribosomal RNA", at positions 29 to 507 of the family's 1533-position model. The record is from RNAcentral.
AGUGAACGCUGGCGGUAGGCCUAACACAUGCAAGUCGAACGGCAGCACAGUAAGAGCUUGCUCUUACGGGUGGCGAGUGGCGGACGGGUGAGGAAUACAUCGGAAUCUACUUUUUCGUGGGGGAUAACGUAGGGAAACUUACGCUAAUACCGCAUACGACCUACGGGUGAAAGCAGGGGAUCUUCGCACCUUGCGCGAUUGAAUGAGCCGAUGUCGGAUUAGCUAGUUGGCGGGGUAAAGGCCCACCAAGGCGACGAUCCGUAGCUGGUCUGAGAGGAUGGUCAGCCACACUGGAACUGAGACACGGUCCAGACUCCUACGGGAGGGAGCAGUGGGGAAUAUUGGACAAUGGGCGCAAGCCUGAUCCAGCCAUACCGCGUGGGUGAAGAAGGCCUUCGGGUUGUAAAGCCCUUUUGUUGGGAAAGAAAAGCAGCAGGUUAAUACCCCGCUGUUCUGACGGUACCCAAAGAAUAAGCACCGGCUAACUUCGUG